AAGCAGCCAUCCUCUAAGCAGUGCGUAACAGCUGACCAGCCGAGGUUGGGGGCGCCGAAAAUGGACGGGGCUAAGCUAGGUACCGAUACCUUGGAACACAGCCUCUGAGGCUGUGUUGGUAGGCGGGCGUUGUGGUCGGGCGGAAGCUGGGCCGUGAGGUCCAGUGGACUGGCCACAAGUGCAGAUCCCGGCGGAAGUAACAGCGAAGAGGAGUGAGAAUCUCCUCCGUCGAAAAGGGCAAGGGUUCCCCGGCAAUGCGUCGUCAGCCGGGGGUAAGUCGAUCCUAAGGGAUGCCCUAACCGAGCAUCCCGAAAGGGAAACCGGUUAAGAUUCCGGUACCACGAAGAUACGUGCGGCAACGCAAGUCCGCAGCCCGACGCUUCAGGAUAGGCUGAGUGGGGCCGUCGCCCCAUUUAACCUCUGAAACCCAGGGAGAACCGUAAUGGUGAGAACUGGGUGAAGGAGGGAAUAGCCGCCCGUUUAGGGUGGUUCAGUCGAUUCCUGGAGCCAAGGAAAAGGGUUGCGGAAAGGAUUCUUCGUGCUCGUACCCAGAACCGACACAGGUGCCCUAGGUGAGAAGCCUCAGACGUAUCGGGUCCAACUCAGGGCGAGGGAACUCGGCAAAUUAGCCCCGUAACUUAGGGAUAAGGGGUGCCUGAAACCUUGGCUCAAGCUGGGGUUUCAGGUCGCAGUGACAAGGGGGAUGCGACUGUUUAAUAAAAACAUAGGUGGCCGCAAGCCCGAAAGGGUGUGUACGGCCGUUGAGUCCUGGCCAGUGGUGGUACCUAAAACUCGGGUCCAACCGAGCUAAGGGCCACUAAACGCCGGGAGUAACUCUGACUCUCUUAAGGUAGCCAAAUGCCUUGUCGUGUAAGUUACGACGUGCAUGAAUGGACCAACGACAUCCCCACUGUCCCCGCCUGGGGCCCGGUGAACCCACAUAACUUGGACGAACAGUCCAGGAUCUCCCAGCGGGGCGAAAAGUCCCCGUGGAAUUUUACUGCAGCUUGCUGCUGGGAUGCGGCUGCGGGUACAGAGGGUAGGUGGGAGCCUACGAGCCAUCCCCUCCGGGGGAUGGGGAGGCGACGAUGUAACACCACCUAUCCGUGGCUGUAUCCCUCACCAGAGGAGACUCUGGAACAACGGCAGGUGGGCAGUUUGGCUGGGGCGGCACCCCCUUGAAAAGAUAUCGAGGGGGCCCAAAGCUCGACUCAUCCGGGACAGAACUCCGGAGUAGAGGGCAAGACCAAAAGUCGGGCUGACUGGAUCCUCCAAAGCAAGGGAUCCAGAGGCGAAAGCCGGGUCUAGCGAUCAUUCAUGUCCCCAUUGUUGGGGGCUGGAUGUGACAGAAAAACUACCCCGGGAGUAAUUGGCUCGUCUCCUCCGAGAGUCCCCAUCGACGAGGAGGAUUGGUUCUCCGUCGUCGUCCCUUCCCAUCCUGGGUCCGCAGCAGGGCCCAAGGGCGCGGCUGUUCGCCGAUCAAAGGGGAAUGCGAGAUGGGUUUAGACCGUCGCGAGACAGGUCGGAUUCUACCUGCUGGGAGUGCUGGUCGCCUGAGGGGAAGGCGCCCCUAGUACGAGAGGAACGGGGUAUCGUAGCCUCUAGUUUACCGGUUGUCCGACAGGGCAGUGCCGGGCAGCCACGCUGUCGAGGAUAAGGGCUGAAGGCAUCUAAGCCCGAAACCUCUCCCGAAAAUAGGCGGCCGAUCC
RNAcentral lists this ribosomal RNA (1709 nucleotides) under Candidatus Bathyarchaeota archaeon. RNAcentral describes it as "partial 23S ribosomal RNA". It matches the Rfam family "Archaeal large subunit ribosomal RNA", at positions 1196 to 2886 of the family's 2987-position model. Lineage: Archaea; Thermoproteati; Candidatus Bathyarchaeota. The record is from RNAcentral.